RNAcentral lists this ribosomal RNA (619 nucleotides) under uncultured bacterium. RNAcentral describes it as "bacterial SSU rRNA". It matches the Rfam family "Bacterial small subunit ribosomal RNA", at positions 338 to 955 of the family's 1533-position model. The record is from RNAcentral.
CCUACGGGAGGCAGCAGUGGGGAAUUUUGGACAAUGGGCGCAAGCCUGAUCCAGCAAUGCCGCGUGAGUGAAGAAGGCCUUCGGGUUGUAAAGCUCUUUUGUCAGGGAAGAAACGGCUGAGGUUAAUACCUUUGGCUAAUGACGGUACCUGAAGAAUAAGCACCGGCUAACUACGUGCCAGCAGCCGCGGUAAUACGUAGGGUGCAAGCGUUAAUCGGAAUUACUGGGCGUAAAGCGUGCGCAGGCGGUUUUGUAAGUCUGACGUGAAAUCCCCGGGCUCAACCUGGGAAUUGCGUUGGAGACUGCAAGGCUGGAGUCUGGCAGAGGGGGGUAGAAUUCCACGUGUAGCAGUGAAAUGCGUAGAGAUGUGGAGGAACACCGAUGGCGAAGGCAGCCCCCUGGGUCAAGACUGACGCUCAUGCACGAAAGCGUGGGGAGCAAACAGGAUUAGAUACCCUGGUAGUCCACGCCCUAAACGAUGUCUACUAGUUGUCGGGUCUUAAUUGACUUGGUAACGCAGCUAACGCGUGAGUAGACCGCCUGGGGAGUCGGUCGCAAGNUUAAACUUAAAGUAGUUAGUUAGCGNGNGNGNGCGACGACGACGACGACGGAGGAGGAG